This 176-nucleotide small nuclear RNA is filed under the name Oryza sativa Indica Group (long-grained rice). RNAcentral's name for it is "U2 spliceosomal RNA". Lineage: Eukaryota; Viridiplantae; Streptophyta; Magnoliopsida; Poales; Poaceae. The record is from RNAcentral.
AAAAAUACCCGUGCGUUGCAACGGGUGAAGUCUAUUUUAAUCUUAUUAUUGUUAUAUGGUUUAGUUAAGAUGAAAUUCACUGUGAGAAUUCGCUUGGAUAUAUAUAUAUAUAUAUAUAUAUAUAUAUAUAUAUAUAUAUAUAUAUAUAUAUAUAUAUAUAUAUAUAUAUAUAUAUA